GACGAACGCUGGCGGCGCGCCUAAUACAUGCAAGUAGAACGCACAGUUUAUACCGUAGCUUGCUACACCAUAGACUGUGAGUUGCGAACGGGUGAGUAACGCGUAGGUAACCUGCCUGGUAGCGGGGGAUAACUAUUGGAAACGAUAGCUAAUACCGCAUAAUAUUAAUUAUUGCAUGAUAAUUAAUUGAAAGGUGCAAUUGCACCACUACCAGAUGGACCUGCGUUGUAUUAGCUAGUAGGUGAGGUAACGGCUCACCUAGGCGACGAUACAUAGCCGACCUGAGAGGGUGAUCGGCCACACUGGGACUGAGACACGGCCCAGACUCCUACGGGAGGCAGCAGUAGGGAAUCUUCGGCAAUGGACGAAAGUCUGACCGAGCAACGCCGCGUGAGUGAAGAAGGUUUUCGGAUCGUAAAGCUCUGUUGUAAGAGAAGAACGGGUGUGAGAGUGGAAAGUUCACACUGUGACGGUAUCUUACCAGAAAGAGACGGCUAACUACGUG
This 505-nucleotide ribosomal RNA is filed under the name uncultured bacterium. Its description in RNAcentral is "partial 16S ribosomal RNA". It matches the Rfam family "Bacterial small subunit ribosomal RNA", at positions 28 to 507 of the family's 1533-position model. The record is from RNAcentral.